Long non-coding RNA from Oncorhynchus keta (chum salmon), 895 nucleotides. RefSeq lists it as uncharacterized. Lineage: Eukaryota; Metazoa; Chordata; Actinopteri; Salmoniformes; Salmonidae. The transcript has 4 exons. The record is from RefSeq and is a predicted model, not a curated record.
CCUGUCUCUCUCUCCUCUCUCGCUGUCUCUCUCACUCGCUAUGUCUCUCUCCCCAGGUGUGUCUCUCAGUAAAGUAGUGUACCAGUCUCCCUCUACACUGCUGGUAGAGCCUAAUGCGUCUGUCUCUGUCCCUCUCCCUGUCUCUGUCUCUCUCCCCAGGUGUCUCUCUCAGUAAAGUAGUGUACCAGUCUCCCUCUACACUGCUGGUAGAGCCUAAUGCGUCUGUCUCUGUCCCUCUCCCUGUCUCUGUCUCUCUCCCCAGGUGUCUCUCUCAGUAAAGUAGUGUACCAGUCUCCCUCUACACUGCUGGUAGAGCCUAAUGCGUCUGUCUCUGUCCCUCUCCCUGUCUCUGUCUCUCUCCCCAGGUGUCUCUCUCAGUAAAGUAGUGUACCAGUCUCCCUCUACACUGCUGGUAGAGCCUAAUGCGUCUGUCUCUGUCCCUCUCCCUGUCUCUCUCUCCCCAGGUGUCUCUCUCAGUAAAGUAGUGUACCAGUCUCCCUCUACACUGCUGCUAGAACCUAAUGCAUCUGUCUCUGUCUCUCUCCCCAGGUGUCUCUCUCAGUAAAGUAGUGUACCAGUCUCCCUCUACACUGCUGGUAGAGCCUAAUGCGUCUGUCUCUGUCCCUCUCCCUGUCUCUGUCUCUCUCCCCAGGUGUCUCUCUCAGUAAAGUAGUGUACCAGUCUCCCUCUACACUGCUGGUAGAGCCUAAUGCGUCUGUCUCUGUCCCUCUCCCUGUCUCUGUCUCUCUCCCCAGGUGUCUCUCUCAGUAAAGUAGUGUACCAGUCUCCCUCUACACUGCUGGUAGAGCCUAAUGCGUCUGUCUCUGUCCCUCUCCCUGUCUCUCUCUCCCCAGGUGUCUCUCUCAGUAAAGUAGUGUACCAGUCUCCCUCUACA